RNAcentral lists this ribosomal RNA (497 nucleotides) under uncultured bacterium. RNAcentral's name for it is "partial 16S ribosomal RNA". It matches the Rfam family "Bacterial small subunit ribosomal RNA", at positions 28 to 507 of the family's 1533-position model. The record is from RNAcentral.
GAUGAACGCUGGCGGCGUGCCUAAUACCUGCAAGUCGAGCGAACGGACGAGAAGCUUGCUUCUCUGUUGUUAGCGGCGGACGGGUGAGUAACACGUGGAUAACCUACCUAUAAGACUGGGAUAACUUCGGGAAACCGGAGCUAAUACCGGAUAAUAUUUUGAACCGCAUGGUUCAAAAGUGAAAGACGGUCUUGCUGUCACUUAUAGAUGGAUCCGCGCUGCAUUAGCUAGUUGGUAAGGUAACGGCUUACCAAGGCAACGAUGCAUAGCCGACCUGAGAGGGUGAUCGGCCACACUGGAACUGAGACACGGUCCAGACUCCUACGGGAGGCAGCAGUAGGGAAUCUUCCGCAAUGGGCGAAAGCCUGACGGAGCAACGCCGCGUGAGUGAUGAAGGUCUUCGGAUCGUAAAACUCUGUUAUUAGGGAAGAACAUAUGUGUAAGUAACUGUGCACAUCUUGACGGUACCUAAUCAGAAAGCCACGGCUAACUACGUG